RNAcentral lists this ribosomal RNA (492 nucleotides) under uncultured bacterium. RNAcentral describes it as "partial 16S ribosomal RNA". It matches the Rfam family "Bacterial small subunit ribosomal RNA", at positions 29 to 507 of the family's 1533-position model. The record is from RNAcentral.
AGUGAACGCUGGCGGUAGGCCUAACUCAUGCGAGUCGAACGGCAGCACAGUAAGAGCUUGCUCUUACGGGUGGCGAGUGGCGGACGGGUGAGGAAUACAUCGGAAUCUACUUUUUCGUGGGGGAUAACGUAGGGAAACUUACGCUAAUACCGCAUACGACCUACGGGUGAAAGCAGGGGAUCUUCGGACCUUGCGCGAUUGAAUGAGCCGAUGUCGGAUUAGCUAGUUGGCGGGGUAAAGGCCCACCAAGGCGACGAUCCGUAGCUGGUCUGAGAGGAUGAUCAGCCACACUGGAACUGAGACACGGUCCAGACUCCUACGGGAGGCAGCAGUGGGGAAUAUUGGACAAUGGGCGCAAGCCUGAUCCAGCCAUACCGCGUGGGUGAAGAAGGCCUUCGGGUUGUAAAGCCCUUUUGUUGGGAAAGAAAAGCAGCAGGUUAAUACCCCGCUGUUCUGACGGUACCCAAAGAAUAAGCACCGGCUAACUUCGUG